Molecule: ribosomal RNA, 327 nt
Filed under: uncultured eukaryote
Lineage: Eukaryota
Description: partial 18S ribosomal RNA
Rfam family: Eukaryotic small subunit ribosomal RNA
Source: RNAcentral
CCCUUAGAUGUUCUGGGCCGCACGCGCGCUACACUGACGAAUGCAACGAGCUUAUAACCUUGGCCGAAAGGUCUGGGUAAUCUCCAAAUUUCGUCGUGAUGGGGAUAGAUUAUUGCAAUUAUUAAUCUUCAACGAGGAAUGCCUAGUAAGCGCAAGUCAUCAGCUUGCGUUGAUUACGUCCCUGCCCUUUGUACACACCGCCCGUCGCUCCUACCGAUUGAAUGGUCCGGUGAAGCGUUCGGACCGUGGCCUUUGGACGGUUCGCCGUCGAUUGGCUGUGGGAAGUUCGUUAAACCUUAUCAUUUAGAGGAAGGAGAAGUCGUAACA